Long non-coding RNA from Bufo gargarizans (Asiatic toad), 512 nucleotides. RefSeq lists it as uncharacterized. The transcript is spliced from 3 exons. The record is from RefSeq and is a predicted model, not a curated record. Lineage: Eukaryota; Metazoa; Chordata; Amphibia; Anura; Bufonidae.
GAAUGGAUUGAAGAGUCAGUGAUUUCUAGCAACCAUAUUGACUGCUCAUAUUUGGAGGACAGUCUUAAAUGUAGAGGGGCACAGAGACUGGCAAUAUUCAUUAACACUUUUUUUUUUUUUUUUACUUGUACCAGUUACAUUGUGUGUUCUCCUCCAGUCACAUCCAGAGCUGCAUUCACAUUGCCGCUGGUUUCCUGUUCCUGUCACGCCACGAGACCUUUCAUCUACGGUAACUCUUUCACCUGCAACAUCUCUCAAGUGCAACUCCUUAAGUGCACAGUCUGAAUUAUACCAGAAUUGGACCAGAAGGGGACCUCAGUGCUGGACAAUCAGCAGAGCAGCCAUCAUCACCUAUUGUUCCCUGUUACCAGCCAUUUCAAGAUCUGGCACCCGUGAUCUGGAUUCAGAGACAUGCACCGUCCGUGGGUUCCUGCUCUAUAAAUGCAGAUGAUCCAGGGGGUAUGAAUUCUCCCUCAGCGUUCCUUCACCAUCCACUAUGGGGCUGCGGGGUC